AAGCAAACAUCCUUGACGAGGCAGAUCAUUAGUGGCUACCAGUCCUCGAGUAAUGACACCUCCAUGGACUGACUAACUGAUUCCAUUCCAUGUCUGUUACAAAAAUGGCGGGAAUAUGCUCUCUGAAUCCAACAACCUUAAUGACUCUUAAGAGAAUUCAUGGAAUUAGAUGCUGCUCAGGAGCAACGGAUAAUGAAAAGAAGAGCCAAACUAGAACUAAAACCCCACAGAUUUUGAAAUUGGCUGUAAGUGGGAUCACAGAGCUUUUAAGGGUUGUCUCCUUCUCAGGCAAA
Populus nigra (black poplar) is the source of this 293-nucleotide long non-coding RNA. RefSeq lists it as uncharacterized. Lineage: Eukaryota; Viridiplantae; Streptophyta; Magnoliopsida; Malpighiales; Salicaceae. The transcript is spliced from 2 exons. The record is from RefSeq and is a predicted model, not a curated record.